Molecule: long non-coding RNA, 1365 nt
Filed under: Mus musculus (house mouse)
Lineage: Eukaryota; Metazoa; Chordata; Mammalia; Rodentia; Muridae
Description: long non-coding RNA chr13:51733469-51734834
Source: RNAcentral
GGAGAAGGAGAAGGAGAAGGAGAAGGAGAAGGAGAAGGAGAAGGAGAAGAAACAAGCUGAUACUCAGAACCUCAGCGCCAACUGCAGACUUCUUCAGGAAUAAUGAGGCCUUGGCUACUGAGAUGACGCAGGCCACUCUGCAAGCUUAAGGACUUGGGUCACAAUCCUUGGUACCCAUGAUGGAGAGAGAGAACCAACUCUGAAAGUUAUGCUCUAAUCUCCACAGGUAAGCCAUUGCAUGCACAUGACUGGACUCACACAUACAAGGCCCCUGCCCAAAUUACACCCAGAUAGCCAUGGAAACUGAAUGUGUAUAACUGGCUCGCACAUUCCCAAUAGGGCCCUACUCCUUUACCACAGCCUUGGCAGGCUGUGAGAAGAAGCAGAGGGAAGAGGAGUUUUAUACUUAUUCUGGUUCCUUCUCUUAGCUUUGUCCAACUAAAAUGCAUCCCAAAUCCCGUGUAGAGAGCCAUCUCUCAAGUGCUAUGCCUCACUGCAGGAAGGUGUAGUACGGCUGGCAUGGUCCACACCAAGUUCAUGAGAGGAAGUGCUGGUCAUCAUACAGAUACACACCCACAGGGACACAAGUGGCACAGGACACACAAUCACACACAGUUAAGCACGGUGAUGUAGGACACACAGGCAUAUAGACAACUUAUCACACAGAUGUAGAGCCAUGAACACACAGGUACACACACACACACACAUACACACAGGGACAUGAUGGACACAUGCUAUGCUAUACCCCUAAAGAGUAGAGCAAGCACACGUGAGGUGCACACAGAACCAUCAUACCAUUAGCAGCCAUCACUUGGGAGGGAUGGGAGUUGGAGGAGGACAUGGAGACAGGGAAGGGAAGACCAUCUAGGAACCUCACUGUCUAGCAUCAAAGCCUGGUGCCGCCCUGAGGGACAGCAGUCUUGGCUCCAAUGAAGAUAUAGGAACAAGAUACCUGACAGUCCACCAGACCCAAUGGAGGCUUCUACAAGGUAUCGCUUACCGACCUGGACAUAGAAAUCAUACACGGAAUGAUUUACCUGUGCCGUGAGUCUCUGGGGUUGUUCCUGGCACCUUUAGAAUGGAAGCUUCAGGAAGACAUCUCUGAAAGUAAUGAGAGACUAAGAGUCAAGCCCCUGGGUCCUCCACCCUCACGGGGCGCUUGGGUUUCAGACAGGCACUAAAUACAAACUCCUUAGGGCCCCAAGCAGAUGACCUCUCUAUCCAGUUCCUGCGGGGCUUGUUCACUGCACCAGAAGUGAGGUGCUGGGCAGCCAGCAAAGGGGAAGCCUGGGUCAGCUGGUGCGCUUGCUUGCUCACCUCACCACAGACACCACAAAUAACCACUUCUCUUUUCUUUCCUUCUCC